Molecule: long non-coding RNA, 208 nt
Filed under: Gossypium barbadense (sea-island cotton)
Lineage: Eukaryota; Viridiplantae; Streptophyta; Magnoliopsida; Malvales; Malvaceae
Description: long non-coding RNA (GBAR_LNC015330)
Source: RNAcentral
UUUUAUCUACUUUAUUGGCAUAAUAACUUAUUUGACCUUUCAACUUUACAAAAAAAAAUCAUUUUAGCCCUCUAUUUAAUUUUGUCUUUAAAUUUUUUUGUCAAAUCACCCCAAAGUUAAUGGAAAAGUUAACAUUUUUUAACUUUGCUGAUGUGGCAUGUACGUGGAUUGCCAUGUGGAUGACACACCAACAUUUAAUUGAUUUUUU